UUACACCCAUAUCUCUGUUUUAUUGUUAUAUUCAGAUUCUUUGGAAGAGGAGAGAUUACAGCCAUCAGGAUCAUUUUCGAUAAAUAGAGAGUCACUAGAUUCAUUUAAGUUUGUAAAAAAAAAAAAAUCCAAAUUCAAUUUUAUCUGAGAUGAUAAAGAAAGUUGUUUCUUCGUUCCAAGGAUAUGGACAAGUAUACGCCGCAAGUGAAUCCAUUGUAGUUUAGGCAUUUAAAUUAUUUUAAGGCAUCAAUUUUAUUUAUUUUUUCUUCUAUGGGAAAUGUGAAAUGAAAAACAAACAAGAUUUGGGUGCAGAGGCAGAGGCAGGAGAGGCAUCAUGCAAGAUCGUUGAAACUGAGCAAUUUGAUUCUGAAGCAUCAUAUAUUUGGUGCAAGGAAUCGCUGAUGACAUUGGAAUGGCGGCACCGGAAAAGUCAGCAGGGCAUUGGCAUGGAACCGUGCAUGUUUCGUGGAUAAGCAGACUAAUUAUCAUAAUGCAGCGAGAUACUGGUAAAGAAUAGAGUGAGUCUAAAAAUAUCAGUCUCGGCGAUGUAAACCUCUAAUCUUUAACCUUGUGAGUGUAAUUGCAUUAACUCAAAGGCUUAGAGACCAUGAUAGAUUUUCAUGACUCCAUUGGAGUGAAUUGUUUGAAAGUCAAAGUGAAUCAUUUGAAAGCCUUUUGGUGGAAGGCAAUAAGAUUGAUGAAUGGUUGUU
Molecule: long non-coding RNA, 710 nt
Organism: Populus euphratica (Euphrates poplar)
Lineage: Eukaryota; Viridiplantae; Streptophyta; Magnoliopsida; Malpighiales; Salicaceae
Exons: 2
Source: RefSeq, a predicted model, not a curated record